This is a long non-coding RNA of Phasianus colchicus (ring-necked pheasant), 4756 nucleotides long. RefSeq lists it as uncharacterized. NCBI's taxonomy places the organism in Eukaryota, Metazoa, Chordata, Aves, Galliformes, Phasianidae. The record is from RefSeq and is a predicted model, not a curated record.
CUUGCUAGAGAUCCUUGUCUGCCUGGAGUAUUUCAAAGCCCCUACAGGAGAAGCUCAUUCCAAACAUCAUCAUUGGGGGACCCUUGCAUGUUCAGCUCUGGUGCUCAUAACAGUGGCUACAUGGGAGAUGCUUCCACAUCAAGAUCCUGGUUCAGAGCAGACUAGGAGCAAUGAAGAUCAUUCCCCCUAGCUUUAGAGAAAAGAGGGGGCAGAUCAUCCUCCACUGGGAGCCAAAGUUUUCUCUGGAAAUGGGGAAGGCUUUCAAAGAAGAUUCAUAUAUGCUUUCCUUUUGGCAGAAAUUGGAGCUAUCCAGAAAAGAAGUCAGGCAGGAACAUCCAUGUUUCAGGAAGUAGACAACACUGAAGAAUCUGACGUUUGUUAUUUUUGCUAACUUGAGCAGAAAUGGUUAACCACAAGGCUGUGUUCAAAGUAUGGGAAAUACACAUAAAUGAGCCUUGGAAACAACGUGCUUUUGAGCGAGGUAUUGCAUAUGCAAGUGAAGAUGGAGCUUUUGUCUGGCUGAACAACUAAAGACAAUUUUGGGAAGGUUUGUUUUAAUAUUAAAGUGAACUUGGACUGCAGUUUGAGACAAAACUCUUGGUGCACUAAAGUAUCAGAAUUAACUUUGCAGUAUGAUUGUUUGAUGUGCAAAGGAAGUACCCCUACCUGAAGUCCUGAAUGAGAAACAGGAAUUUGAUACUAAAGACAGUGAAGAAAAAUAUAAAGUGCUUUUUUAAAUAUAGACUUGAAGUAUAGCAGCGUUCAGAAUUAAUAUGCAGUAGCCUACAAGUAAUUCAGAUGUGGUUGCCCAGCACGGGAAAAAAAAGAGGGAGCUGUGUUAGAAUAUGCUGUUGGGAAGAAUAUGCAGACUUCAAGGAAAAAAUGAUGAAUGCAAGGUGACUGUCUGACUGAGUGCACAGAGGAUUGUUUGCUAGCACUCUUGGACUGUGCUGGAAUAAAAGAUGACCAGGUUAUUAGCUGCAAAUCUCAGCUGUUAGUUGAAUGCUGAUGUCACAUUAGUGUAGUGCUGGAAGCUCUAGAAGUACCUCAGAAGGAGAAGCAGCAGACAGUAAUACAUAACUAGGAAAUGAGGUUUGCAUGUUGGCCUUUUCCUCUGUUAAAGGACAACUAAGCAACAAACAGAAAAGAUGAUACCCACAAUACCACUGGGAAAAACUGCUCCUGUUAAAGUUAUCAUCACUUACACCUUUUCUUCUACAUCAGCUAUCCUUCCUCCAGAAGAGGCUCCAGGUAGUGUUCCAGAGACCUCUGACACAGAGGUUUCUGAGGGUGCCAUACUGGCUGCAUCAACCCCAUUUAUUUCCAUAUCCAUAAACUUUUCUGGGCACUGUAUGGCAGUUCUUCUCCACCAGUUGUCUCUAAACGUAGCUGAAUAACUCUACUUGAAUUUACCAUUCUUCUGGUCUAUAAUGUGUUAUGAAGCCACUUCAAGAGGUGUUUAUUAGAACAAGCAAGGACUAGGAGAUUGGCAUUAGGCAUGCUGACAUGCGUCAAAUGUGCUAUGAGGAAGUGCUGAGCUUUGCCUUUCCAGUUUUUCAUUUACUGAAUAUGCCGAAACUUUGCACAAGUCAUAAGUCAAAUAUAAAACAAUAUGAAAGCAUCUUUAGUUUGAGAGCUCUUGAAACAAAGCAGUGCGCUCUCUUAUUGAGAAAUGUUGUCUCAUGUCCCUGUGUGAAGUCUCUGUUCUUAGUUAUCAUUGCACUUAGUUGCACAUCUCCUGUCAAUAAGUGCAUUGUAGAGAUCUGAGGCUACUCAAUCAUGUUGAAAACUCAUCAACUUUGUCUAAUACUAAAAAUGCAGGUACUUUCCAGUAAUUAAAAUCAAUUCCAGAGUUUCCCAGCUCUCUUGCACAUAUCUUUUAAAUAGUGAAAACAGUAUCUAGCCCUCUAAUUACUCUAGAUAUAAUUUUUUUUAUGAUUCAGACAGGAAACUGCUGAAGUAAUUUCACUGCCUAGAGGAAAUAUAUUUCUUUAUGCGACUCUCUCUCAUUUAUUUAAACACUGUGCUACACAUGAUUAAAAAGGUGCUAAGGAACUUCUCUUGUGGAAUCUACAGUGUCUGGCAGUAAAAACAGGAGGACAUCAAAUAGUCUGUGCUGCCAGUGAGCACGGAGUUGGUAGGAAGAGAAGUGAUAUACCAAACACUCGCAUCAAGCUUUGUUUUGACAUCUGUGAAGACAAUAUUCCAAGAGACGUCAUCUGUUGAUCUUUUGGGUGCUAUUUAUCUAAAUUAAAUAAUUCCACUCUACCUCAUUGCAUACUCAAGUGCAAAAGGUAUUUGAGUGUCUUACUGUAUAGUAACAUAGCUGGUAAAUCUGAUAAUGCUAAGCAAUAGAUCAGAGUUUCUAAGUAUUCAAAUCUGGCUAGAUGUGACAUCUUCAUACCAAAACUUGUAUGUUCCCAGAGAUUAGAAAGCUUUCAAGUUUUCAUAGUUUUUUUUUUUUUUGUCCCAUCCAUUUGAGAAUUAGAAUUUAAUUUUUAAUAAUGGCAUGAUAACUAGACUUGGAUUAUGUUAUUAUAAAAGUUAAAGUUAUAAUAAAUCAUGGAAGCAGAGUAGCUUCAAGUUCAUUCUUUAAACUUUCUAAAAAUAAGACGUUACGUAUCUUGUAUAUAACACAUUUUUGAAGUUCCCCUAUAAGUAGUCUUCAAAAGGGUUUUCUGCCUCUUUUUUGCUCUUUUCUAUGCAGCAAAUGAUUUGCAAUUCUUUUUCUCUUCUUCAGCUUUGAAACAAAUGCAAUAGCGUCACAGCAUUUCCUUAUCACACACUGCUUCAAGAAUAGCAUUGUACUGUGAGGAGGGGGGGAAAUAACUUCUGGAAAAUUAUUUACUCUUGGUGCAUGAAUUCCAAAUUCAAGCAUCUUUUUCCAAGAGAAAAAAAAUAGGGGAUUCUGUCUAGAUAAACCUGUAUUUAGCAUUUGUACAGAUACUAAAGUAGUAAACUCAAAAAAAAAAAAAAAAAAAAAGAAAAAAUCCUUUCUAUAUUGUUUUUCUGUUCUGAAAUAAUAUGAAUGUUGUCCAUACUGCACUAGCUAUCAAAUUCUACAAGAAGACAUAACUUAUUCUUUUCUGUUGGCAAACAUGAAAUAACAUGUGGGUAGCUUACUAUGAAAACUUGUUUUCUGGUAUAGUUGGAAAUCUGUAGUUUUUAAAACUGGUGUUUAAAAGGUGGAAGAUAAAUAAAUGAAGGGUGAGUAAAUCAUAAUUGCUUUUGCUUUCUCUGUACUUCUGUAUGUUCUUUCUGGCAUGCAGCAUGCUAAUUUACUCCCCAUACUAGCUUCAGAAUGUCUCCAGCUCCCUCAGUCUGGUAUUCUGUGAAUCUCUCUGAAUUUAGUGAUACUUGUUCAAGUGUUAGGCCUUCUCUGCAUAGUUCAGAUGUUUAUGCUGUGCCUUUCCAUCACACCACUGUGGUUAGGAAGAGAGAUUGUGCUACAAGGGUCCACUACCUGACAUUAUAGUGUACCAGCAGCCACAUCAGUUUGUGGCAGUAGGAAAGUGAAUUUCAGCCCAUCCUCCCAGAUAAGCUAGCAAGUCAGAAGCUACCAGGGACUAAGGCAGCUAAGGCAAGUGCUCAAGCAAUGCAUGCACAGGAGGUUGUCUUUUUCUACUUGUAAAUCCUUCCAGCAAGGGAAGGGAUUAAACAAGUAAAGGAAACAAGUGCAGGAAAGGAAAUAAAAUUUAAAAAAAAAAAAAAAAAGCUUGAAGAGCUUCAUUACUGUGAAAAUCACCAUCAUGUUCUUUUUUGCUGUCAAGAAAACUUGGAAGAAAACAGCUUCAGGGCUGAGACUGGUGGUUUCCACUGCCCAGAAAUGUGUAAAAUGUGGAGUGUGCCUCAGCUUUUCCAUGAGAAUCAAGCAGAACUUUUACAUUUUUGACCAAAGCAAAUGUUGUUGCUGAAAUGUUUGUUUUGUUGACAUAUAUAUAGCUCAAGACACACAGAAAUUGAAAGCUGUGCAUCUAUUUUUGUGUACCUCUGUGCAAGUACCAAAAGAGUCUCUCAUACAAAUAUUGAUGCUUUUCAAGUAAAAUAGUUGAUACCUGCUCUAUUUUUUUUUUUUUUUUUUUUUGCUCCAAAAUGGUUCUAACCCAAGAUUUAGUGAAGUAAAUCCAUGCUUUCUGUCCUCCAGUUUUGUUCAUUUUUCUCUCCGUUUACCCACGGCCCUCAGCUCCCUUUUUUACUUCAGGCUAGUUGUUUUUGUGUGUUGUAUUUGCUGACUGCCCACCAAGAGCAGAAAGGGAGAAAAGAACUCUGAAUGACUGCUCCCAUGCUUGUGGCUGUGAACUGGGGAUUGCAUCUGUCUCAGAUUUGGAGAAACCCUGAGGAAGUCUGAGGCAGCAGUGCUUGCUGCAGAUUUGGCGCCUUCACAAACUGCUGUUAAUGAGGAAAAGAGACACUUCCACUUUAUAAGUGGGAAAUCCUUGCAUGUGAUGCUGCAUGUAGGACACAAAACUUGGAACAGCAGAUGGUAAAGUGAGAGUCACUAGGAGGGAUGUGUGACUAACAGGAAGGGAAAGCAUCGUCCAACACAGAGUGAGACAGACCAGUGGAAAUGCAGGAGUUCAGGCAAGAAGCCUUCUCCAAGCAUGGAAGUAAAAGCUGCUUCUCUGGAAAGAGAGAAAGAAACUUUGUUGUAUUUUUUUUGUGGGAAGAAAGAAAAGCAGAUGGAAAGGGUCUAAGGCAUCUAUGUUAGGAAUGGUGCCUGAAGCAUAAGAAGCUAAUAUUCAGUAACGGGGGGGGG